RNAcentral lists this non-coding RNA (23 nucleotides) under Cricetulus griseus (Chinese hamster). Lineage: Eukaryota; Metazoa; Chordata; Mammalia; Rodentia; Cricetidae. The record is from RNAcentral.
GGGACCUAAAAGAGCUAGCAGAA